AGACUCAAUCCCUCGGGUUUCUGAGGAGGUUGGAUUUGGGUGCUUGCCUUCUGGCUCGCCUUAAAGGACUUAGCAGGAUAGCACUGUAGUCGACGUAAUAAGUCUCGUUGGUGAAAGUGUGAUGUCUGCUUACAAAUUGCCCUUGGGCACUUUUGA
RNAcentral lists this unclassified non-coding RNA (156 nucleotides) under Aspergillus penicillioides. RNAcentral's name for it is "partial internal transcribed spacer 2". Lineage: Eukaryota; Fungi; Ascomycota; Eurotiomycetes; Eurotiales; Aspergillaceae. The record is from RNAcentral.